UAAGACGAACCGUGCGAACGUUAUUCGGAAUCACUGGGCUUAAAGCGCGUGUAGGCGGGCCGCCACGUCGGCUGCUGAAAUCCCCCGGCUCAACCGGGGAACGGGCACCGAUACGAGCGGCCUCGAGGGGGGUAGGGGGACCUGGAACUUCCGGUGGAGCGGUGAAAUGCGUUGAGAUCGGAAGGAACGCCCGUGGCGAAAGCGAGGUCCUGGACCCUUUCUGACGCUGAGACGCGAAAGCCAGGGGAGCGAACGGGAUUAGAUACCCCGGUAGUCCUGGCCGUAAACGAUGAACACUGGGUAGGGGGCUCGCCGAUGGGCUCCCUGCCGUAGGGAAACCGUGAAGUGUUCCGCCUGGGGAGUAUGGUCGCAAGGCUG
Molecule: ribosomal RNA, 378 nt
Filed under: uncultured bacterium
Lineage: Bacteria
Description: bacterial SSU rRNA
Rfam family: Bacterial small subunit ribosomal RNA
Source: RNAcentral